GUGAAUCAUCGAAUCUUUGAACGCACAUUGCGCCCCUUGGUAUUCCGAGGGGCAUGCCUGUUCGAGCGUCAUUAUGACCACUCAAGCCUAGCUUGGUAUUGGGGUGCGCGUGCUCGCGGCCCUUAAAAUCAGUGGCGGUGCCGUCUGGCUCUAAGCGUAGUAACUUCUCUCGCUACAGAGUUCCGGCGGUUGCUUGCCAAAACCUCAACUUCUUAGGUUGACCUCGGAUCAGGUAGGGAUACCCGCUGAACUUAAGCAUAUCAAUAAGCGGAGGA
Molecule: unclassified non-coding RNA, 275 nt
Filed under: Hyaloscypha sp.
Lineage: Eukaryota; Fungi; Ascomycota; Leotiomycetes; Helotiales; Hyaloscyphaceae
Description: partial contains 5.8S ribosomal RNA, internal transcribed spacer 2, and large subunit ribosomal RNA
Rfam family: 5.8S ribosomal RNA (bases 1-71)
Source: RNAcentral